Monodelphis domestica (gray short-tailed opossum) is the source of this 8207-nucleotide non-coding RNA. The record is from RefSeq and is a predicted model, not a curated record. Lineage: Eukaryota; Metazoa; Chordata; Mammalia; Didelphimorphia; Didelphidae.
UCUGGGCGGGCGCCGACCGGCGGCAGCACUAAUAGGGGCCCGCGGCCCCUCCCCUCAGCCGCCCCUGGGGCUGGCCGGCCGGACUGGGCCGGCCCCCGGUCCCCGCCGGAAGGCCCCGGGACACCCUUUCGGGCCAAUCCCUCGCCUUCGCCCCGUUCUGGGCGCGUCGCCUCACGACCUUCUUUUCUCCUUCGUCCUCUCGCCCUCCUGCGGCCCGCUCACCCGCUUCCCCCGCCCCCAUCUCGCCUAGCCUAGCCUUUGGCCCGGGCCUCCUAGGCUCAGCCACGGGCCGGGAAGGGACAGCGCCUCCCGGGCGCCGCCGCUGGGAAGCGCCCUCUCCCCUCCCUCCCCCCAGAUCCUCCUGGCCUGCCGCCAGUGCCCCCGUGCCCCCUCUUUGUCCCGUCUCACCCUGCCCUCCCUUCCAAGUCCAAACCACUGGCCCCAGUGGGGGAAAGGCCGGGAGAAGACUCGGAGCAUCUCCCAGCCCAAGGGAGAAUCGAGGCAAUCCCGUGGGACCCUACUCAUUGGGCACAUCGGGAAACCCCCAGAAAGCCCAGAAAGAAAAAGACUUGGAGGGUGGAGGAGCCCAGAAAAAGGCCUGGACAAACAGGGAGGUUUCCCAGGAACGGGGCCCAAGGCAGUCCUGUGACUCGGGGCAUUGCGGGGCUGGUUAGUUUUCUCCUUUCUGGCCCCAUCACUGCGUGGGAACCGCAGGCCCAUCCGGCAAUCCCUUAUCCCUAAAGCUCCCGGCUUUCCUUUUUGGUCAGCCUUGAUCUGCCCGCACCUUUGAAAUCGUCCUCCCUGGGAAGAGCUAAGAUGCUCCGACUCUUUAGACCUCAGAAAGGGAGACAAGCCCGGAAGCCUCCGGUCCAUUAGAAUACUUCAAGACGCUAUAUACCCAGUAGACAAGAAGAGUGGCAAAGGCUAGGCAGUUGGGUUUGCCUGAUUGCCCAGAUCACAUAGCUAGGAAGUGUCCUUGGUCCGAUUUGAACCCAGGUCCUUCCUACCCCAAGCCUGCUGUUCUAUCCCCAGUGGUACCUAGCUGCCCUCAAGUCAAGUUUUGUUUGUUUGUUUUUGUUGUUGUUUUAAACAUUCAGCUGGGAGGGGGCCCAGAAGAUCCCGGAAUACUGCCCUAUUGAGCUGAGGUCGAGAUCUGAGAGCUGAGAGUGAUCUCAGACCCUGGAAAGGAGAGAGGGACCAGGCAGGGUGUAUGGGGGCAGGGUGGGGUUGGAGGAAUCCUCAGAGAUUUGGUCUGGAAGCGGAGGAAGUCCUCAAUUUUAGUUAAUUAUCCUGGCUGACUAGGAUGCUAAACUCAAUUGUCUGUAUGCUGCUAAAGAAAUGCUAGUGCUCUCCAUUCUCUUCUAAGCUGAAGUACCUGGGGGCAAAGCCCUGAUUGUCUAGACCUGGUUAAAACUCCGAGAAACACCCGGCAGGGUGGGGAUGGCCAAAUACCUUGGGGAAAUCUGGGCGGAGCGGGACUAGAGAAAGGUAGCUGGAUACCAAACAGAGCCAGAGAAUAAUUCAGUUCAGUAGAAGUCCUCAGACUUAGUUUGUGCUAGCUGUUGGUUAGAUGAAGAAAUGGCACAGUCUCUGCCCUCAGGGAGUUUCCAGGGAAGGGGGAGAAUGAGGUGCUCAGCCCUCUUAUCCAUCUGUCAUAAGAUGAUGAGAAUAAAGGAGGGGAAUGACGGGAUGCUCUUGGAAGAUCUGAGGAGUUACAUUAUUUUCCACUGGUAGCAGGUCAGUCAGGAGCAGGGUGAGCUGGAGAUGGACCUUGCAGGUAGAGAAGGAUAUAAGCACAGAUGAAGAUGACGAGUCUCCAUGUAUCAGGGACAGGCUGCAUGGCUGCUUGGAGGAGGUGGGAGCCUAGAGGAAGACUGAGGAGCAGUGGGCACUGGAAGAGGAGCUUGACUGAGAGUCCACAGUCUGCAUGAAGGGAUGGAGGGUAAAAUAAGACUGGAGGGAUUUGCUUGAGGGAUUUGGCAUUAGAAACGCCAAGCCCAGUCUGCAUUUUCUCCAAUAAGUAAUAGGGAGCUACUGAAGUUUUCUGAGCGACAUGAACAGAACUGUGCAUCAUGAAGAUUAUUUUGUUGAAAGUAUAAAGCCUAGUUAUAGGGAUCGAUAGAUAAAACAUUUGACAAGAGUUUACAGUGUGCCUAACAAUGUGCUGGCGAUAUGAAUACAAGCAAGCAAGACAGUCCUAACCCUCAAGGAGCUUGCAUUCUGCUGGGGGAAGAGGAGACGAAAAGUCAUGGUAGACAAAGGGACACUGCACAGGGAGACCAUUUAAGAGGCUAAUGUGGUCUGGGUGACAGGUGGCAAGCGUGUCUAUUAGGGUUAUUGGAAAGGAAAGAAGAGAUGUAAGAGAACUGAUGAAGGCAGAAGUGCAGGUCUUGGCAAUUGACUGGUGGGCAAUGUUGAAACCAUCUAAUCUCCUGUUUCUCUUACUCUAUAUCCAGUCAACAGUGUCCACUGAUGAGUGUGGUGGACAAAAACAGGGAAGUCAGAGGGCAGGGAGAGAAAAAAUGGCAAGUUCAGUGGGGGGCUGGGGGGAAGAUGCUGACUUUGGUAUGUUGGAGUAAUAUCUAGUUUGGUUCAGGAGAAACAGUACUGAAUAUGGAGUCAGAGUACCUGAGUUCAGAUUCUGGCUCUUCCAUUUAUUAGCUUGAUGACCUUGGGCAAGUCAUUGAACCUGAACUCUAGGUCCCUGUUUCCCAGUUGCAAAAUGAGAGGAUUGCACUAAGUGACCACUUCAAGUCCCCUGUAGCUCUGAAUUCACAAUCCCAUGUGAAUCUAGCUGGUAGGGGGGAAUGUCAGUCUGAAACCCAAGAGAGAGACUGAAGCUAACCACAGAAAUUUGGGAGUCAUCUGUAUAUAAAGCUGAUGAUGGACUGCCAUGUGAGUGGCUGAGAAGACCACAGGACAGAGUGUAGAAAGAAAAGGGAAAAGAGUCAGAGACAAAGGCUUGGUGCAUGCCCACAUGGAGGAGGAUCAGCUAGGAAUGGAGGCUGAAGAUGACUGGUUAGACCAGUAGGAUGGGUCAAUGGGUCAUGCACGCAAAGGGAGGAGAGAGCAUUUAAGGGGGGUUGUGGAUAAACAGUGCCAAGUGUUGGAGAAAGAGCAAGGAGACUGAGGACUGAGAAAAGGCCAUUCAGUGGAUCUGACUGUGAAGAUACAUUGGCCAUUGCAGGGGCAAUUUCAGUGGAGUGGAAGAGUGUGGUCUGAAUAAAGGGAUUAAAAAGACAGGGUAGUGAGGAAGUAGAGGCAACACUCUUCCUAGGUGUUUAUUACAGCAUAACUUGGAUGAAUAUAGGCGAAUCUAUUCUACUAUAAUAUAUGGACAUAUGAUAGAUAUACCUAUUCUAUAUCUAAUCUUGAUGAUUUGGUGGUUUAUAAUGGCAGCAGAAAAAAAUAAUGACAAGUCAAAGCAUUGAAGUCUAAUCCUACCUCUGACUACUGCUACCUAUGGGAUGUGAGACAAGUAUCAAGUAUUUUAAUUGACUUGGGCCUCAGUUUCCUCUGGUAUAAAAUGAAGGGUUUGAACUAGAUGACUUCUGAGGUCUCUUCAAGGUCUAUAUUUAUGAUCUUAGGACUGUAUUGGUGAGCCUAUGGCACUCAUGCCAGGGGGGGGCUGCUCCCUUCCCUCUCUCCAUCUCUCUGCCCAGCAGCCCAAUGGGAGUGUUUCCUGCCUCCCCUGUCUAGAGUAAGGGGACAGACAGCUCACAUGAGGUGUGAGGGUGCAGUUUGGGCACUCAGUCUCUAAAAAGUUUGCCAUCACUGUCAUAGGAGAACAAUAGCAGCAGGAGUUUGGAGCAUCAUGGGUCUAGUGGACCAAAGAUAGGUCUUGGAGUCAGGAAGAUGUGGGUUGUAGUCUCACCUCUGACAUUUCCUAGCUGUAUGACUCUAAGGCAAGGAUCUUCUGGCACUUCGCCAAGGCUCUAACCUAGGUGACUUGCAAUCUGCAUAGAGGAGGGAAUUCCUACCUGAGGAAAUCACACUGAGCACUUUCAGAUUGAGAAAGUACAUUCCUUCCAACAACCAGCUCCAGCUGGGUAGUGCAAGUUUUAUCACAGUCCUUUAGAUGAGGAAACAGACAGAAAAGGGAGGGACACUGGGGAACUUUAUGUAAUGUGUUAUUCUUUAAGGAGAAAAAAUAGAAGUGUCUAUUCCGGUCCUUGAGGGUGCAUGACAUAGUAGAUAGAGAGCUGAACUCAAAGCCUGAGAACCUGGUUCAAGUCUUGCCUCUGACUCCUACUGCCUGAGUGAUCCUGGCAAGUCAUUUAAAGUCUCAGUCCUCCAGCUAAUUCUCUAAGAUUAUAUAUUGGAGGAGUUUUGGCAUUAUUUGAGUAUUUUCUUAUAGCAGUGACCAGUAUGGAAAUAUGUUUUGCAUGAUAAUACAUGCAUAACCCAGAUCAAAUUUCUUACCAUCUUGGGGAGAGGGAGGAAGGGAGGGAGACAAUUUGGAUCUUAUAAUUUUGGAAAAUAUAUGUUGAAAAUUACUAUUGCAUGUAAUUUGGAAAAGAAUUUUUUUUUUAAAAAGGAAGAUAAUAUUCACACCAAAAAAUAUUUUACAUUGGAGAGAAGAUAUUCACCUUCAUCAGGAGUUUCCUCACUUGGAAGUUCAUUCAUUUCUUUUUCCUUCUUCUUUUUUCCUUCCUUCCUUCCUUCCUUCCUUCCUUCCUUCCUUCCUUCCUUCCACCCUCCCUUCCUCCCUCCCUCCCUCCCUCCCUCUCUCUCUCUCUCUCUCUUUCUUUCUUUCUUUCUUUCUUUCUUUCUUUCUUUCUUUCUUUCUUUCUUUCUUUCUUUCUUUCUUUCUUUCUUUCUUUCUUUCUUUCUUUCUUUCUUUCUUUCUUUCUUUCUUUCUUUCUUUCUUUCUUCCUUCCUUCCUUCCUUCCUUCCUUCCUUCCUUCCUUCCUUCCUUUCCCUCUUUCUGUCCUUCCCUUUUCCUCUCUUACCUGUCUAUCCAUCUUUCUAUCAUUUAUCAUCUCAGUCAUCUAUAUAACUUAAUAUCAUUAUUUUUAUUAUACUAUUUUGUAAUAUAUAAUCACGUAUUUUCUAUCAUUAUCUAGCAUUCUUUUCUCUGUGCCUCUAGGUCUCUACCUGAAAAAGUUUAAGAAAUAAAGACAUUUCUGAGCCAUCAUUCUGAGCUGAAGAGCCAAAUUUUCAACUCCAAAUGACGGCCCAGAGAUUUUGUUUAUUUCUUACAGUUUCUCCACCUGAUGGGACAGAGGAAAGGAUUCAGGAUUCUGAGAUCAGUUCUGGGGUCGUUCAGGAGCUCGGGGGACUUGCUGUUUUCUGCCUCCUCAUUAAAGAUCCUAGCUGCUCUGAACUGAAUGAGUCGUGUGUAGUGGUCGAGAAGAAGAGGCCCUCUGGGGUGGACUUGUGUCUCUACUGGAGUUUAAUUUGACGAAAUUGGUUCCUCCCCGGAGUUGGCUGGACUUUGUCUCCAAGUCUACAGCUGGGUGCUUUCUGUUCCUUCUCAGCAGAGAAAAUUUGUGUGGGAGGUCAGGGGUGGGGGGGACCUCAUCUAAGUGGGCUAAGUGUUUGCUGCUCACGAGCUCUAGAUGUCAUUUGCCUUUGAGGGAAGUUUAAAGUUGUGUUGGGUUCGGAGGAGGACAUGCGGUGUCCAGAGGAGCCGGUGAGAGGGUACCUGCAAUUGUAGGAGUCAAUGUGAGAAGAGAAAUCAGCACUGGAUUUAGUGUUGGCAGACUUGGGCUCAAAUGCCAACUCUGGCACUUAUUAUCUACCUAGCCUUGGGUGAGUCAGUUAACCUCUUUGGGCCUCAGUUUCCUCAUCUGUAAAAUAUGGGGACCCAGGUCUCUAAGGUGCAAUGAAGCUAUCGAGGCACUCAGCGAGGUCCUAAGGGCAGUCCCUGCCACCAAGGAGCUAACUAUUGGCAAAAUAGAACACAUUACCCAAAUAGGUUGAGUCAGAUAAAAACUGAGCAGGGAGAGAGCAUUAAUAAUAACCUAAGGGGAGAGGGGUUAGUCAAGGGUUCAUGGAGAAGAUAGCCCUGAAGGCAGAUAAAAUUUCUUAAUGGCAGGAGAUGCAUAAUAUAUACUUUCUGUCUUAGAAUCAAUAGUGGGUAUUGGUUCUAAGGCAGAAGGAUAGUAAGAGCUAGGCAAUGGGGGUGAAGUGACUUGCCCAGGGUCACACAGCUAAGAAAUGUGUGGGGCUGAUUUGAACCCAAGACCUCCAUCUGUAGGCUUGGCUCUUAAUCCAUUUAUCACCCAGCUGCCUCCCACAAUAUAUAAUAAUUGUUAAUUAAUUAAAAUGAUUAAUCACUGACAACAUUUAUAUUAUGUAUCCUAUACUAAUUAUUAAGAAUAAAUAAAUAGUAAUAAUCAUCUGCUAAGUGUAGUGCCUUAAGAGUUACAAAACUUCUGCAUUCACCGUCUCGUUUGAGUUUCACUCUAGCCUGUAGAUAGGUGCUACUAUCAUUCCUCUUCCCAUAUGAGCCAUUCAAGGCUCAGAGACAUUAAAUGACUUGCUCAGAGUCACACACACAGCUUCUAAGUAGAGGAAGAGGGGUUUGGGUUUGGAUCCGUGAAUCCUGGGGUCAUAGACUUAGAAAGGACUUUAGAGGUCCAGAGAAGAGAAGUUCAAUGACUUACCCAGGGUCUCAAAGCGAGUAAGUGGCUAAAGUGGGAUUGGAAUUGAGAUCUCUCUGAAAGCGCAUCCACUGCAGAGCGGGGGCGGAUUGAGUCUAGGAAGAGACGUCCAACAAGCAGAGGGAAGCCCAAGGAAAAGGCUUUUUCCUCCACUGACCUUCUUGUCUUUGGUGCUCCGGCAUCGGGAAUUUUGUCAGGGAAAAAGCUGUGGGCACGGAGCCUAGGGCUACCCAAAGAACCAAGCGUUGCUCAGCCAGUGGAGGAAGAGCGUGGGCAAGAGAGUGAGGAUCUGAGUUGUUCCGGAAAAGGAAACCUCAAAUGUGGUCCAUCUGACGGAAGGGUGCCUAGAUCUGGCUCUUCGGCUCCCAGAAGGCUUUGUUGAGAGCGCUCUCACAGUGAGGAUGGAGGCCACCUUCCUUUCGAGCUUCCAGACCGUUGUAAGCACGGAGGACGAGCUGGAAGGGGGAGUCCCUUAUAGCCUGGCACGCCGCCUUGGAGAGGCUAAUGGAGCUCUGGACAAGGGGUGCCCUUUGACUGACAGCAGCCAAGCCAAACACACUCACUUUAUGGACUUAUCAAUAACAUUGAGCCGGUACAGAGAUCGUGGGCUACCAGAGAAAAAGAACUCGCUCGGUGCAAACGGGGUUUCAUCUUCCAAAGACGGGCAGUAGCUUUGUUCCUUUCUGCCUGGCUUCGGCUGUCUCCCAGUGGGUCUCUAGCCGUGCCUUGUUCUCCUCCCAUCCUUUGCUUUUCCCAUUUUGAUCCUGGCUCGCUCUGUUUCGGGGUCUCUGCGGUCACCGAUGUUUAGCGUCUCCCAGUCUCCCGUCACCCUCCUACAAGGAAAAAUGCAGAAGCCAAUUUUGCUGCAUUUUAAAGCUGAUCUGGGUCUUUCGAAGGCAGUGAUUCUCCUUGCAAAUGUCUUCGGAGGUUGCCUUUGCAUCUAAUCACUGGCAGCUGGUUUCCUACUGCAGUGGCACGAGCCUGGGCAGUACCACAUGGGCUACAUUUUGCAACUUUUCUAAGUAAACUUUGAUCUGGACAUCUCGCAAGACUUGGGAAAACAAGGUCUUUGCGGUUCCACAGAUGCGUUUGCAGUAAGACUGCCCAGCCUUUGUUCUUCCAGCCAGCCCAGGGGUCAGGGAGUUUUCCAAGGCUGGCUAAGCUUCCAGGUGCUUAUCCAUAGAGGAAAUGCACAGUGAGGGAUGAGGGAGACGGUACCUGUUUUCUAGGAAAGAGUUUUAAACAUGGGUUGGAAAAAGUAGGGUUCAACUUUCUCUGUUCAUGGAAAGGAGACAUUUAUUGUGGAAGAGAAGGAAGUAUUUUUUUAAAGAAUUUUAAGACUUGACAGAACUUUUAUUUAUUUUUAAAAAUCCUUUCCUUCUGUCUUAUAAUCAAUACUAUGUAUUGGUUCCAAGGCAGAAGAGCAGUAAGGGCUAGACCAUAGGAGUGAAGUGACUUACCCAGGGUCACCCAGUUAGGAAGUGUCUGAGGUCAGAUUGGAACCCAGGGCCUCCUAUCUCUAGGCCUGGCUCUCCAUCCACUAAGCUACCCAGCUGCCCACUGACAGUUAUUGUUUUAAUUAAAGAUUUUUUUCAAUGA